ACUGUCAGGUGGGCAGUUUGACUGGGGCGGUCGCCUCCCAAAAGGUAACGGAGGCGCUCAAAGGUUCUCUCAGUACGGUCGGCAAUCGUACGUAGAGUGUAAAGGCAAAAGAGAGCUUGAUUGCAAGUCAUACAGGUCGAGCAAGGAUGAAAAGCGGACUUAGUGAUCCGGUGGUUCUGCGUGGAAGGGCCAUCGCUCAACGGAUAAAAGCUACCCUGGGGAUAACAGGCUUAUCUCCCCCAAGAGUCCACAUCG
This 255-nucleotide ribosomal RNA is filed under the name Clostridioides difficile. Its description in RNAcentral is "partial 23S ribosomal RNA". It matches the Rfam family "Bacterial large subunit ribosomal RNA", at positions 2253 to 2507 of the family's 2925-position model. Lineage: Bacteria; Bacillati; Bacillota; Clostridia; Peptostreptococcales; Peptostreptococcaceae. The record is from RNAcentral.